Molecule: ribosomal RNA, 301 nt
Filed under: uncultured bacterium
Lineage: Bacteria
Description: partial 16S ribosomal RNA
Rfam family: Bacterial small subunit ribosomal RNA
Source: RNAcentral
CAGCCGCCGCGGUAAUACGGAGGGAGCUAGCGUUGUUCGGAAUUACUGGGCGUAAAGCGCGCGUAGGCGGUUACUCAAGUCAGAGGUGAAAGCCCGGGGCUCAACCCCGGAACUGCCUUUGAAACUAGGUGACUAGAAUCUUGGAGAGGUCAGUGGAAUUCCGAGUGUAGAGGUGAAAUUCGUAGAUAUUCGGAAGAACACCAGUGGCGAAGGCGGCUCACUGGCUCAUACUGGACGCUGAGGUGCGAAAGCGUGGGGAGCAAACAGGAUUAGAUACCCCAGUAGUCCCUGUCUCUUAUAA